CUAAUAUAUCCCAACAGCAUCAUUUCAACAUGCAAUCUAUACAUAAAAUGCAUUCAGAUUCUCUACAUUCUUUUUCAUGCAGCGCCUUCAAAAUCCAGGCCGUCUCAUACCCACAGCAUUUCCCCGACUGCUGCGUGCUAGUGCUGGACCGUGAGUGACCAGAGAAACCACUGCAUUAAAAUAUGGGGGUCACUCCCCCUGCAGUGUGUGUGUGGGGAGCAGGAGGCAGUGGGGGUCAUUCCCCCUGCAGUGUUGGGGGAGGAGAAGGCAGUGGGGGUCAUUCCCCCUGCAGUGUGUGGGGAAGGAGGAGACAGUGGGGGUCAUUCCCCCUGCAGUGUGGGGGGAGGAGAAGACAGUGGGGGUCAUUCCCCCUGCAGUGUGGGGGGAGGAGAAGACAGUGGGGGUCAUUCCCCCUGCAGUGUGUUGGGAGGAGGAGGCAGUGGGGGUCAUUCCCCCUGCAGUGUGUUGGGAGGAGAAGACAGUGGGGGUCAUUCCCCCUGCAGUGUGUUGGGAGGAGAAGACAGUGGGGGUCAUUCCCCCUGCAGUGUGUUGGGAGGAGGAGGCAGUGGGGGUCAUUCCCCCUGCAGUGUUGGGGGAGGAGAAGAAGGCAGUGGGGGUCAUUCCCCCAGCACUGUGCGGGGAGGAGGAGGCAGGACUGUGCUCGCCCCUCCCCUUCCUGGUUCAGGUCCUGCUCCUGGGACUCAGCGCUGCGCCUCUGGGAAGGGCCGGUCCAGGAGCUCCGCAAGUUGCGGGAGAACCUGGCGGGUCCGUGGUCCAGCGAGGCCUGGGAUUCAGAAGGGAUGAAACGUUCCUCGACGCUUGAACACCGGCCUCCUGCCCCUGGGUCUUCCUGCUAUUUCUUCCUGCCCCUCGCUCCCGCCUCGAGCCACCCCCUCGUGCUCCCCAACGCCCGCUCCUGUGCUGGUCACUGGGGGCAGUGAGAGGAGGCCAGAAGCAGAGGCGAUGCCGGCGGGGAGCGGGCGGUGGGGGGGCUUCUGGGAGCGACGGACCCGGCAGCUGCAGAGCCCAGUGCGGCUGAGUGGGGGGAGGGAGGAGGGACCCCCCUCAGAGGCUCCACGCGGAGGCCUGGGAGAAUCGGGUGGGCUGGAGGCUUUCACUGGAUGGUAGCCAGCUUUGGACGCAAACGUCCCACGUGACCUGUCCCCUCUCGUCUAGGCUUCCAGGACCUAGGGGUGGUGGACCUGCUCUGUCCUCCCACCCCUGGACUUCCCUGGUGAUCUCCUCUCCCCUCCCACCAGGGACCUCCUACCCCCUUCCCCCUCCCCCCUCCCACACCGGAGCCUUCUCUCCCCUCCCACCCGGGACCUCUUCUCCCCUCCCACCCGGGGCCUCCUCUCCCCUCCCACCCGGGACCUCUUCUCCCCCCCAUCCGGGGCCUGCUGUCCCCUCCCACCCGGGACCUCUUCUCCCCUCCCAUCCGGGGCCUCCUCUCCCCUCCCACCCGGGACCUCUUCUCCCCUCCCAUCCGGGGCCUCCUCUCCCCUCCCACCCGGGACCUCUUCUCCCCUCCCAUCCGGGGCCUCCUCUCCCCUCCCACCCGGGACCUCUUCUCCCCUCCCAUCCGGGGCCUCCUCUCCCCUCCCACCCGGGACCUCUUCUCCCCUCCCAUCCGGGGCCUCCUCUCCCCUCCCACCCGGGACCUCUUCUCCCCUCCCAUCCGGGGCCUGCUGUCCCCUCCCACCCGGGACCUCUUCUCCCCUCCCAUCCGGGGCCUCCUCUCCCCUCCCAUCCGGAACCUCUUCUCCCCUCCCAUCCGGGGCCUCCUCUCCCCUCCCACCCGGGACCUCUUCUCCCCUCCCAUCCGGGGCCUCCUCUCCCCUCCCACCCGGGGCCUCCGCGGCUUUUAAAACUGUCUGCUGUGUGCUGUGCACGUGCUGGGAGCACAGUAGCGAAGCCGGGACAGAUAAAGUUCUUCUAGUCACUGCCCUCUUGGAGUAUACCGUUGAAUCCGGGAAGUAGAUCAAUGAAAUAAACACAGAAUGGUUGUAAAAUACAGAACGCUGGGAAGUGGAGGUGCGUGGUCUUACCCGUGUUUAUAAUUCAGCCGUCGCCUAACCUGAGAAAUCAAGGAUUUCUGCGUCGUGCGCGUGCCCGCUGAGCUGAGCUCUGCUGGGAUGGGGAGUCCUUCUCCGGCUGGAGGCUGAGGGCAGGAGCUCUCGGUGAGAGGCUGCGGCCAGCGGUGCUGUGAGCCGGGCGGGGGUCAGCGCGGGCGGCCGGGGCGAGGCUGACAGCACAGCAGGGGCCGAGCUCCCCCGGGUCAGGCGGGACCAGGAAGGGAUCAUCCUUCUUUUGAGGGCACGGAGCCACCGUCGGAGGGC
This 2339-nucleotide long non-coding RNA is filed under the name Homo sapiens (human). RNAcentral's name for it is "non-protein coding lnc-AFDN-2:1". The record is from RNAcentral. Lineage: Eukaryota; Metazoa; Chordata; Mammalia; Primates; Hominidae.